This 497-nucleotide ribosomal RNA is filed under the name uncultured bacterium. Its description in RNAcentral is "partial 16S ribosomal RNA". It matches the Rfam family "Bacterial small subunit ribosomal RNA", at positions 28 to 507 of the family's 1533-position model. The record is from RNAcentral.
GACGAACGCUGGCGGCGUGCCUAAUACAUGCAAGUUGAGCGCUGAAGGUUGGUACUUGUACCAACUGGAUGAGCAGCGAACGGGUGAGUAACGCGUGGGGAAUCUGCCUUUGAGCGGGGGACAACAUGUGGAAACGAAUGCUAAUACCGCAUAAAAACUUUAAACACAAGGUUUAAGUUUGAAAGAUGCAAUUGCAUCACUCAAAGAUGAUCCCGCGUUGUAUUAGCUAGUUGGUGAGGUAAAGGCUCACCAAGGCGAUGAUACAUAGCCGACCUGAGAGGGUGGUCGGCCACCCUGGGACUGAGACCCGCCCCAAACUCCUUCGGGAGGCAGCCGUACUGCAUCUUCGGCAAUGGACGAAAGUCUGACCGCGCAACGCCGAGUGAGUGAAGAAGGUUUUCGGAUCGGAAAACUCUGUUGGUGGGGAAGAACGUUGGUGAGAGUGGAAAGCUCAUCAAGUGACGGUAACUACCCAGAAAGGGACGGCUAACUACGUG